This 1080-nucleotide ribosomal RNA is filed under the name uncultured Rhizaria. RNAcentral's name for it is "SSU rRNA". It matches the Rfam family "Eukaryotic small subunit ribosomal RNA", at positions 577 to 1674 of the family's 1831-position model. The record is from RNAcentral.
CGGUAAUUCCAGCUCCAAUAGCGUAUACUAAAGUUGUUGCAGUUAAAAAGCUCGUAGUUGGAUUUCUGCGGGGACGGAGCGGCCGGACGCAACUUGCGUCUCGAGCUAGCGCUUUCCCCACAUCCUGCCGCGAACCGUGCUACCAUUAGUUUGGUGGCGCUGGGGAUCGGCUCGAUUACUUUGAGAAAAAUAGAGUGUUCAAAGCAGGCCACACGCCUUGAAUAAGUUAGCAUGGAAUAAUGACUAAGGACUUUGGUUCUUUUCGUUGGUGUUCGGGACUGAAGUAAUGAUUGAUAGGGACAGUUGGGGCGGUCCGUAUUCCAAAGCGAGAGGUGAAAUUCUUAGACCUUCGGAAGACGAACAGCUGCGAAAGCGUUCCGCAAGGAUGUUCCCUUUGAUCAAGAACGAAAGUUGGGGGAUCGAAGACGAUCAGAUACCGUCGUAGUCUCAACUAUAAACUAUACCAGCUAGGGAUCGGCCAACGUUUAAUUAUUCGACUUGGUCGGCACCUUAUGAGAAAUCAAAGCAUCUGGGUUCCGGGGGGAGUAUGGUCGCAAGGCUGAAACUUAAAGGAAUUGACGGAAGGGCACCACCAGGCGUGGAGCCUGUGGCUUAAUUUGACUCAACACGGGAAAACUUACCAGGUCCAGACAUAGGAAGGAUUGACAGAUUGAUAGCUCUUUCUUGAUUCCGUGGGUGGUGGUGCAUGGCCGUUUUUAGUCGGUGAAGUGAUUUGUCUGCUUAAUUGCGUUAACGGACGAGACCCUAGCCUGCUAAAUAGCGCGGUCGAGCUUUGCUCGGCACGAGCUUCUUAGAGGGACCAUGAUGCGCGAUAGCACAAGGAAGUUUGGGGCAACAACAGGUCUGUGAUGCCCUUAGAUGUUCUGGGCCGCACACGGGCUACACUGGCGCCUGCAACGAGCAUAUCAGCUGGCCCGAGAGGGUCUUGGCUAAUCUUUGGAACCGGCGCCGUGCUUGGGAUUGACCAUUGCAAUUGUUGGUCAUGCAACGAGGAAUGCCUUGUAAACGCGAGUCAUCAGCUCGCAUUGAAUACGUCCCUGCUCCUUGUACACACCGCCC